GCCGCCCUCUUUCUUCGUGCUUAACACAUGCAAGUCGAACGGAAAGGCCCUGCUUGCAGGGUACUCGAGUGGCGAACGGGUGAGUAACACGUGGGUGAUCUGCCCUGCACUUCGGGAUAAGCCUGGGAAACUGGGUCUAAUACCGGAUAUGACAUUCCAUGUAGUGUGGGGGGUGGAAAGAUUUAUCGGUGUGGGAUGAGCCCGCGGCCUAUCAGCUUGUUGGUGGGGUAAUGGCCUACCAAGGCGUCGACGGGUAGCCGGCCUGAGAGGGUGGACGGCCACAUUGGGACUGAGAUACGGCCCAGACUCCUACGGGAGGCAGCAGUGGGGAAUAUUGCACAAUGGGCGGAAGCCUUAUGCAGCGACGCCGCGUGGGGGAUGACGGCCUUCGGGUUGUAAACCUCUUUCGACAGGGACGAAGCUUCGGUGACGGUACCUGUAUAAGAAGCACCGGCUAACUACGUG
This 465-nucleotide ribosomal RNA is filed under the name uncultured bacterium. Its description in RNAcentral is "partial 16S ribosomal RNA". It matches the Rfam family "Bacterial small subunit ribosomal RNA", at positions 36 to 507 of the family's 1533-position model. The record is from RNAcentral.